GUCUAUAGCCAUACCACCCUGAAUGUGCCCAAUCUUGUCUGAUCUUGGAAGCUAAGCAGGGUCAGGCCUGGUUAGUACUUGGAUGGGAGACCACCUAGGAAUACCGGAUACUAUAAGCA
RNAcentral lists this ribosomal RNA (119 nucleotides) under Pteropus alecto (black flying fox). Lineage: Eukaryota; Metazoa; Chordata; Mammalia; Chiroptera; Pteropodidae. The record is from RNAcentral.